RNAcentral lists this non-coding RNA (30 nucleotides) under Mus musculus (house mouse). Lineage: Eukaryota; Metazoa; Chordata; Mammalia; Rodentia; Muridae. The record is from RNAcentral.
UUAUAAAUUGCCAUUUGCCUAUGUGCUAAG